This 82-nucleotide small nucleolar RNA is filed under the name Brassica napus (rape). The record is from RNAcentral. Lineage: Eukaryota; Viridiplantae; Streptophyta; Magnoliopsida; Brassicales; Brassicaceae.
GAAUUGAUGAUGAUUAUUGCUAAAAUAUGGAAUUACCGUCUGAUCUUUGAUGUGAAAAACGCUGGCUUUACUGAAAUUUACU